Molecule: ribosomal RNA, 328 nt
Filed under: uncultured eukaryote
Lineage: Eukaryota
Description: partial 18S ribosomal RNA
Rfam family: Eukaryotic small subunit ribosomal RNA
Source: RNAcentral
CCCUUAGAUGUCCUGGGCCGCACGCGCGUUACACUGAUGCAUUCAACGAGCUUAUAACCUUGGCCGAGAGGCCUGGGCAAUCUUGUUAACGUGCAUCGUGAUAGGGAUAGAUUAUUGAAAUUAUUAAUCUUGAACGAGGAAUUCCUAGUAAACGCAGAUCAUCAAUCUGCAUUGAUUACGUCCCUGCCCUUUGUACACACCGCCCGUCGCACCUACCGAUUGGAUGGUCCGGUGAAGCCUCGGGAUUGUGGUUCUUGCCGCUUUAUUGUGGCGUGACAGCGAGAACUUGUCUAAACCUUAUCAUCUAGAGGAAGGUGAAGUCGUAACA